Long non-coding RNA from Armigeres subalbatus, 1195 nucleotides. RefSeq lists it as uncharacterized. The transcript has 3 exons. The record is from RefSeq and is a predicted model, not a curated record. Lineage: Eukaryota; Metazoa; Arthropoda; Insecta; Diptera; Culicidae.
AAAAAAGUGAAAAAUCUUAGUUAACUUUAUCGCGCGUGAGAAGUGAAGUGGGUGUUUGGGAGGAAUAUUCCGUAUUCGCGUUGAAAGUUCUUUCGCUGAGCACCUAUAGAGCGUCAACGCCAUUUCUACCGCAAAUCUGAGUGUCAUCCUUUGGAUACUUUACCUUACAAAAGUAUACCGAGUACACCGUGAGAGUCACACAUUGAACGGUUUUCCAGUGAGUACCAGUGAGUACGAUUGUAAUAGCACCGGUGGUGUUCCGUUUCCACGGUUCCUAUCUUACCUAAAAGUGUGACGGUGGGAAGACAGGUGCGGUGCAUUGUAUGCAUGCAAGUGCAUCCGCAAGUGCUAUCGAAGGUUUGUUCUGUGAGGUCGUAUACGCAUUUGCAACCAAAAAAAGGGGUGUUGCUGCUGCUGCUGUUUGUUUGCUGUUGUUGCUGUGGACCUGCUUCCGUGUUGAAGGUGUUGUUGCUGCUGUAUUUAUCUUUUGCUUCGUGGGACCCUUGUUGCAAAUAUAUCGACGUCGACUCAUUCUGAGUAGGGUGGUUAUACAUAUAAUUGACAUCGUUGUCAUCAGGUGUCGCUAGGGGGAAGAGUGAUUUCAGCUCAUAAACGUCAACUAAAAGUAGUUCCUGCCUCUCGCCGGAAGGCCUCAAGGACUUUUGCUUUCCAAGGAGAGAGUGCUUCAUUACAAGCUGGGAAUGCUACAGCAGAACAGUUGUCAACGGAAAAUUGUGUUGAAAUGCCAGCGGUUGCAAGCACCAGUAAACGUAGAAGAGAGGAGGAUGACGAUUCGAAUUCGAGCACCGAUUUUUAUGGCUUUGCUGCCGAUUCAUUUAUCUUCUCUGGUGAGGAUUUCGAAUAUGUCAGUCGGAAUCGAACUGCGCAACCGGCUGAAGAGUUUCGGCGUUCGAAAAGAAGAUGUGUGAAGAAAAAGAAAGAAGAUUAUGUAUACUAUUGAAAUUAACUGUUAUCGAAUUCUCAGUUUUAGACGUAAGUUGUUUUGUUUUGAAUUUGAUCUGUCGAAUAUAUAUUUAUUGGUCUCUCAACUAAACGGUGAAGAAGUUGUAGCGGUGUAAUCCACCUUUCAGAUUCAUAAAGAUCAGUAACAGGGACAGUUACCUCGAAUGAAUAAUAUUAAUAAUAAUAUAUCAUUGAAUAUGAUGAGAGUCGAGAGAGUAGAGAGUGAGCUAGA